UACUCCUACGGGAGGCAGCAGUAGGGAAUCUUGCGCAAUGGGCGAAAGCCUGACGCAGCCAUGCCGCGUGAAUGAUGAAGGUCUUAGGAUUGUAAAAUUCUUUCACCGGGGAAGAUAAUGACGGCACCCGGAGAAGAAGCCCCGGCUAACUUCGUGCCAGCAGCCGCGGUAAUA
RNAcentral lists this ribosomal RNA (174 nucleotides) under uncultured soil bacterium. Its description in RNAcentral is "partial 16S ribosomal RNA". It matches the Rfam family "Bacterial small subunit ribosomal RNA", at positions 334 to 525 of the family's 1533-position model. The record is from RNAcentral.